Molecule: long non-coding RNA, 1210 nt
Filed under: Gouania willdenowi (blunt-snouted clingfish)
Lineage: Eukaryota; Metazoa; Chordata; Actinopteri; Blenniiformes; Gobiesocidae
Description: lncRNA (ENSGWIG00000003803.1)
Source: RNAcentral
CUAGGGUGAAUGACACUUUUUAUAAAGACAUGCAGACGCUCACGAGUUCCAGGAAAUGCAGAAGUGAUCCUUCCCUUUUCAACAUGAGACUAGAGCAGUGUUAGUGAGCAGGUUGGACGCUCUAACGUCACUCUGCUGUUUUCACACUCUCUACAGCAGCAGCUGAAAAGGCUGAUGUGAGGUGAGGAAUCAGUGAGUGUCUGAUGAGCAGCUUCACUCUGAUCACACACUGACUCAACCAUGUGGAUCCACUGCUGUCAAACAUCUGCUGCUGCCACGACAUUAAGUGUAAGCUGGCUGACACGUUACACGCUGUCAGUGAGACACUUCUGAGGAAGGAGAGAGACAUCACAGAAAGUGUCAAACAAAGCUCAUCAUCUCAUGACGUGGAGAUGGAUCAGGACACGGUGAAGGAACAACAUGAGAUCCAGACUGAAGAUCAGAGGAAGCAGCUCACACCUGGACCUGGACCUGGACCUGGACCUGGACCCAGCUGUGUGUCCUUUAGAAGUGACCAGUCCAUGCGCCAACCCAUUAACUUCAAAGGAGGUCCAUCUACUGACCCACAGACCAGGAAGCAGCUCACAUCUGGAUCUGGAUCUGGACCUGAACCUGGACCCAGCUGUGUGUCCUUUAGAAGUGACCAGUCCAUGAUUAAACCCAUUAACUUCAAAGGAGGUCCAUCUACUGACCCACACAGCUUGGAGGGUGUGGAUGGUUCCUCUGGAGCUGAGCCUGACUCCAUCUUUACGGUGUGUACGUCUACAAAGACACUAAACCUGUGUCAGACUGUGAUCAAACCUCUGUACACACACACACACACACACACACACACACACACACACACACACACACACACACACACACACACACACACACACACACACACACACACACACAGAUGAUUGCAGCAGGCCUUCACUCAUCACCUUUAAUGUGUUUGUGUUCCAGCUGCUGGAGGACAACAUCAUCAGCUUUGUUAAGGCUGAACUCAAACACAUGCAGAAGAUUGUGGAUGGAGAUGAUACAGAGUGCUCAGAGAGUCAGAUGGAGGGUGAAGAUGAGGAGCAGAGGAGGAGCAGGGAGGCCUUUCUGAACAUCACAUUGUAUUUCCUGAAGAGGAUGAAGCAGGAGGAGUUGGCUGAGCGUCUGCAGAGCAGUAAGAGUAUGUGAACAUCUUCACUGUGAGGAACAUCACAUGAAGGACACA